CGGGGAGGCUGUGCGUACCCGGGAACCCCCCAGCGGGGUGAGGAACUACCUGAGUUUAGGCUUUACUAUUCCUUUUCUAGGCGAAGAUGGUCUAGCAGAGUGGCAUCAGCCUACAGGAUCUGCACAUCUGAUGUCCCUUAGGGAGCUCUCCCAUUGCCGCCUUGGGAAUCUGUAUUCACAUUAGAACAUAAAGUCCCUACAUUGGGCUGACCCUAAAAACAUCAAGACAUGAAGAAUGAGUGAGGAUGCCUGCUUGAUGAGCCAGGAAAAAGGCAGAAUCCGGAGGUCUGGAAUUGAACAGUGUUUCACUGAAUUGCCCAACCAGGCUCGAGCUUGUGAUCAUCCUGCCUCAGCCUCCCAGAGUCCUGAAAUUACAGUCAUGAAAACAUGAAGCCUGGAGCUACCAUGGCCUUCUUGUGACCACAAGUACAACAAACAGCAAUGAAGGCAAACAGCAUUCUGAGGACAACAGCUGAGAAGGAAGCAAAGAGUGAGUCCUUAAUGAUGUAGUUAAACUUUCAAAGAACCUGGAACAGCCCACUUCUGGACUCCCUCUUAGAUACAUCUUUGGAUGCUUCAGGUAAGGGCUCUUCUGACUGGACUUGACUCCUGGGACCUCCUUACCAGGAAGUACCUUCUUCAGCCAAUCCCUCAAUAGAUUUUUCAGGGCCUUGGAAGAUAGGUUUCAUCAUGGCGUUCUGUAGGAAAGGCACUUGGAAUGUCAACCACUUACUGCAAGCAGAACUUAAGAUAUGGCAGGGAGGAUUAGGCAACAAUAUAUUUUGAAAAUUUACAAGAUGUUUUUGUGACACUUUGGUAGCUUUGUCCCAUGUCAUUUUUUCCCCAAACCCUAAGAGGUAGGCAUUCCUAUUUCCUACAAAUGAGAAACCUUAUCUGUUAAAGAGCUAAUCAACUUGCUUGAUAUUAUACAUAGCUAGUAAGUUAUGGGAUCCUUAUUUCUAAGCCAACUUGCUAAUUCAAAAAUCCAGGAAUUUGGGCUGAAGAUUUAGCUCAGUGGCACUGCACCUGCCUCGCAAACAUAAGGUCCUGAGUUUGAUCCCCAGUACCACCAAAAAAAAAAAAAAAAAAAAAUACAGGAAUUUGCCAGUAUGCCAUAUUAUCUUGCAGAUAGUAGAAUCCUAGGAGUUAAAGCUACAAGGAUAGGUUGGGCCUUAUAUCACAUCAACCUAAAAUGUUCUGCUGAAGAUAUAGUUUCCUAAUCUCUCUGUCUCCUUAGAAUCUCACCUCCAUCAAAAAUAGAACGUUAAUAGCCCGUCAUGGUGGUACACACCUGUAAUCCCAGCACCCUGGGAAGCUGAGACAGAAGAAUAACGUGUUAGAGCCCAGCCUGGGCAAUUUAAUGGCUUAAUGAGAAUUUGGCUCAAAAUUAAAUUUAAAUUUAAAUGAAGGGCUGGGGGUGUGGCUCAGUUUCAAGGCAUUGGGUUCAAUCCUCAAUACUGCAAAAAUAAGUACCAGAAGUUUGAGUCCCACCUAAUGUUUUGUUGCUACAGAGCCAGAUUAGUAGGGUGAAUGAGCUUGACUCCGUUUUCUUAGUUCCUCAAAAGCAUACCAUUCAGUGAGCACAUUGAUGGGACUGCGGCACUGAGGACAAACUCUCUUCCACUUGCUGAAGUUGUUAAAAAUUAAUGGGAGAAAAUAAGAACCAAGAUACUUCGUGUACAGGUACAAAUUCCUUAUGAUGAAUGUGAUCAUUAUAUGUACCAAUAAUCUUACUUAAAAAAAUUAAUGGGAGAAUUAGGACUGGUAAAAUAGCUAUAAUACAAUGAUGUACAAACAUGUAAAUACUGUAAGGGAAAGGCUAAUCCUGGGCAAGCCAGAAGUUUUAUGUAAUUGAAAGAUGAUUCAGUAAGCUACAGGCUCAAGAAAAGAACUAAGUCCAAGAUUCAGGGAGCUUUCUGUGAUCUAGUGGGUCAAGAACCUGGUCAAAAAAGGCAAAGUACCCCGGAAUAAGAGUCAUGGUGGAAGGGGUGAGCUAAAUAAAAGCAAUGGGGUCAAAAUAAAAACAAGUUUAACUAUUUUGAGAAUCCCUCACAGGUGGGCGUAGUCUCACAUGAACAAGGGAGAGCAGUAUUCUGCACUGGCGUGAUGGCCUGGGUAAGAAGGAAAAGCAUCAUGAACCCCAGACAAGAGCUUGUGUUAGCUGGUCAUGGUAGCACAUGCCUGUAAUCUUAGUACUUUGGGAAGCUGAGGCAGGAGAUUCCAAGUUUGAGUCAAGCCUGGGCAACUUAGUGUCCUAGUAAGACCCAGUCUCAAAAUACAAAUAAGAAAAGGGGCUGGGGGUCAGUGGGACGGCCCUGAGUUCAAUCCUUAAAAAGGAAGAAAGAAGUUGAAAAGAAAAAAAAAAGAGAUUGUGAUGGUUGAAGUAGGUGGGCAGUGGGAGGCAGAUAACAGACUGACAGCUAUGCAUUAGUGGUAGCAUCGAAAUAUGUGCACAUGGACCCCACACAACAUUUCUCUUCCAUAAGAGCCACUCCAAGAAUGCAGAGAGAACUGUCCCCUGGGGAGAACUAGGGUAGAGAACCCAGGUCGAAAAAAACCUUUUCUUGUGGAAAGGCAAAUUCACCAUGUCCUGUUUCCUACCACAAAGGGCAAUUGCAAUGAGGAGUUAAGAGACGGUCCCCAAAAUGUACCAGGGGGAUUUAUUUUUCUAUGAAGGGAUAUAAGCCACUGUCAAGUCUCCUUGUGGAAAAGGACAAGUUCUACUGAUCAUGAAACAAAUAACUAAUCUUCAUACAUCUGUAGGGUCAUCCCUAGAUUCUAAAAAUAGAUUGAUUUUAUUUGGCCUCUUGAUAUAUACAACACAGCAUUUUUAUAUGAGAGCCUUGAGACACCAGAUAAGGCAACUGCCAAUCUAUUUAUGUGAGGCAUUUUUACUUUAGUAGAAUAGUAUGGAAUUAUCUCUUUUUUGGGAGGGUGGGUACCAGGCAUCAAACUCAGGCCCUUGCGCUUUCGAGGCAGACAGCAGAACCAGAGCUAAAUCCCUGGCCCUCGGAAUUAUUUCAUUUUUAAAACACAGACAUGCCACCAACAACUAAAUUCAUCAAAGCCUUGUGUUUCUGCUCCUCCACCUAAAUACACCCAGAUCCUAUUUUGAGGAACAUAUGUGACAUGCCAUGUGCCGAAAGUGGACAAGCUUCCUUGCUGCUAGAAGAUAACGCCAACACGGGGCCCUUUUACUGAAAACUCCUUUAUCUCUCUCAGCCAACUGUGUGUCAUGCAGAAGUGAGACAGCUAGAGACUCUUAGAGAAAGGCAGUAAAUAUUUUUUUGGGGGGGGUACUGGGGAUCGAACUCGGGUCCUUGGGCUUGCGUAGCAGGCAGCGAAAUCACUAAGCUAAAUCCCCA
Non-coding RNA from Heterocephalus glaber (naked mole-rat), 3365 nucleotides. Lineage: Eukaryota; Metazoa; Chordata; Mammalia; Rodentia; Bathyergidae. The record is from RefSeq and is a predicted model, not a curated record.